AACGAACGCUGGCGGCAUGCCUAACACAUGCAAGUCGAACGAGACCUUCGGGCCUAGUGGCGCACGGGUGCGUAACGCGUGGGAACCUGCCCUUAGGUUCGGAAUAACUCCCCGAAAGGGGUGCUAAUACCGGAUAAUGUCUUCGGACCAAAGAUUUAUCGCCUUUGGAUGGGCCCGCGUUGGAUUAGCUAGUUGGUAGGGUAAAAGCCUACCAAGGCGACGAUCCAUAGCUGGUCUGAGAGGAUGAUCAGCCACACUGGGACUGAGACACGGCCCAGACUCCGACGGGAGGCAGCAGUGGGGAAUAUUGGACAAUGGGCGAAAGCCUGAUCCAGCAAUGCCGCGUGAGUGAUGAAGGCCUUAGGGUUGUAAAGCUCUUUUACCCGGGAUGAUAAUGACAGUACCGGGAGAAUAAGCUCCGGCUAACUCCGU
Molecule: ribosomal RNA, 432 nt
Filed under: uncultured bacterium
Lineage: Bacteria
Description: partial 16S ribosomal RNA
Rfam family: Bacterial small subunit ribosomal RNA
Source: RNAcentral